Molecule: long non-coding RNA, 3954 nt
Filed under: Sarcophilus harrisii (Tasmanian devil)
Lineage: Eukaryota; Metazoa; Chordata; Mammalia; Dasyuromorphia; Dasyuridae
Description: lncRNA (ENSSHAG00000030583.1)
Source: RNAcentral
AUGCCGAUGGAGAAGGUCCAUGACCUUGAUCCCAAGAGCCUUGGGAAUGGCGGUUCUUUCAGCCGUUCUCCGGGGAGCCUGGCCACUGCUCCUGUGGGUGCCAUAGCCACAACUACUGAAGAUCCAGAAAGGAAGUCUUUGGAGCUCGGACUAGGGCCUAGAGAAAGGAGGGACAAAGAACAGAAUUACUAUGAUGAUGGAGUACUCACAUGUUAGCACCUCAACUAUAGCCACCUCAGAUACAGAAGGAAUAACUAUCCCCACCCCACUGUCCUGGCACCUGGGUGAAGUUGACGUCACCCCAUGCUGAUUCGAACUCUGACUUCCCUUCCCUGAACCUCAGUUUCCUCUUCUGUCAAAUGAGGCUGUCGACCAAACAUUUUCCAAGCUCAUGUCUGGCUCUCCCUCUCUGAUAUACGAGCAUCAUCUUGAGCAGGUAAGCCACCAACUUCCAAAGACAGACCUCCUUGAGAACUUGGGAUAAUCUUUGGCUCAAGAAAAGGCGAUCCCGAAUGGUUCUCCUGCCUAGGACAAGCGGCCCGAGCUCUGUCACCGCCACUGCCAUGAGUCUGUUCUUGCUUGGAAUGUAUCUGACUCAGAACUUGGCCUAACAACUCGAAGAUAUUAAAAGAGAUGCAGAUGCCAAAAAGAAAUCCCCUAGCUCUUACUGCCAGCCUCGGAACAUCUGCUAGGCGUGCUAAUCAAAACCUUGAGGAUCCCACUUCUUCCCGUUCUUCCAUCCAUAACACCUUUUCUUUUCUGGCCUGGGCAACUCUUCACCUUUCGGGCCACUGAGCUGCCUUGGAAGUCAAAGGCCAACACCACAUCCACAUCGCUCUUUGUUCUAAUCUUUGCUACUUUCCCUGGAUCCCUCUGUCCACAUGGGAGAGUGACACCUGAAUCAAGGCAUUUAAGCAAGAAGCACUGGUUUGGAAAAGUGCUCUCUCCCCUUCCCUCUUUAACUGUGGAUUCCUCAAGACAUCACACAAAUGUCUUGCUCCCCAAGUAGGACAGGGCCCCAAGGUCAAGAUGGCGUGAGUUCAAAUCCAGCCUCAGGAACUUAUUAGCUGUGUGUCCCUAGACACAUCACUUAACCUCUGUCUAUCUCAGGAAAUAGGAAUAAUAAUUGCACCUAUCUCCCAGGAUUGUUAUGAGGAUCAAAUGAGAUAAUAUUUGUACAGUACUCGGCACAUAGCAGACGCUUAAUAGAUGCUUGUUUCCUUUCUUCCUUCUUCAAUUUUCCCUUGGAUUCUAAUAAAUCUGGGUAGUUCUCAUUUAAGAUGUUUUUGAAAUAGAAUGUCUGGGCUUUUAAAAAAUUAGAUAGUUUUCGACAAAUGCAAUGAUGUUUAAAUUCUUCCUGUUUUCCAGGUCACUUCUUUUAUAUUUUACCUUCCAUUUUUUAAACUUGGGAUUUUAUUCUAAUAUUUCUUACUGUCUCAUGGGGUCAUUAAUUUAUGUUUGAUCUUUUCUAGUGGGGGUGGGGUUCCAUUUCUUGGUUUACCACUUUCUCUAAGAUCUACUCCUGAUUUUUUUCAUUUUUUAUUACUUCAUUUCUUUUAGGCAUUCUUGUAGUCCUUGUGGAAAGGCUGUUUUUGCUUUUGAGUCUUUGCAGUUGUUUGCAAUCUUUUUUUUUAUAUUGGCUUAUAUUUUCUUUGAUUUUCUCAUCCAUCUAAUUUUAGUUUCUGAAUUGGGGCUUUGCACACCCUAACCCUAACCCUAAAUUCACCUUUUCCCCUUACUGUACUUUGGGAUGGGGUGAUUGCACUUGCUUGGUCUUGUGCUGGGUCCUCUGGAUUCUUGGGAUGAGCCCUGCUUACUGAAGUUAGGUCCUCCUGGAGCUUUUAAGUUGAGAGCACUGGGUCUUCAGGACAUACAAAGCUCACCCAUUUAAACUUCAACCACAGUGGAGAACACAUGGUGGUGUGAGGGCAUUAGCCCCAUUCUGAAAAUGACCAGAUUGGGUCUCCCAGAACGAGGACUUGGAAGUCAGCACAUCGUGCUAAUACGUCUAAACCCACAGUGAAUUUGGCAGUUUAGACCUAGAGAAAGUGGAUCCCGGCUCGUCACACAAUAAUGCUCUUCCAGAAACCACUUAGGUGGUUGAUUCCUCAUUAUUUGGACCCAAGCAUUUGGGGAGAGAAAGUCCCCUCGUGCCUUCAGAUGUGUCUCUUCAACUCAAGCCAUUUGGAAGUCACAUUUAUAGGAUUUAUGAACAAAGAAAAUUUCACAAGAUGACAAAAGAUAAUUAUACAACUCUAGGUGAAGUACAAGUUAAUAAUUUGCUUCAUCAAUCUAGAACAAAUGAUUUAAUCUUGAAGUUUUCCUAAAACCACCUAAUCCCUCUAGGAUGCCCCCCAGAAUCCUUCAACAAAGCCCAACUGGUGCCUGAAGUGAUCAAGAAAUGGAUUUCCUCUGGUAUGACCCCUUCACGGACGAAGAAGGCAGAGAACCUUGUUCUGAGUCUAGUGACCACUCUUAAUGCAUUUUGCAGAGCCUUAGCUUGCUUUCUUGUUGACUUUUUAUGCUCUUUCUUCAAGAAAGGGAUUAGGCCUAAGAGCAAAAGGGAGAAAAAGAUUUUAGUGGAAACCAUCAUUUCCUGAGAAGUUCAUUCAACACUAUUAAAGUUUCCUUCCUUCAGCCAGCAAAUCCAAGUCUGAAAAGAACUUUAGAAAGCAUAUUUCUUUCUUUUUUUCCAUGGAACUGAGGAGUUUCCACAAACCCAAGGCAACAGCACAAAGCAGGCCCCCCUCCAACCACUUGGCUCAAAGCCCGGCUAAGCCUAAGUCUGUCCUAGGAAAAAGGCAGAUUGACCAGGAAGCCCUAGGACCCUCAUUCCAGUUGCUCCUUGCAGAUCCCCGCAGAUCUCCCUAGGGGCUGGCCCCAUCCCUUUGGGGAAGAUGGCCCAAAGAAUAACAGGAAGGAGUUUGGCAGUUCUGCAGUGAAUCAAAAGAGCCUUCCCCCCUUGCCAUCUUCUGCAUAGUAGCCACAGUCCUCCCCCCUUUCCCCGUAUUCUCUCUCUGCCUUCCCCUACCCUCAACCAUUCUACUGUCCAUUGCAACCUCUUUGCAUUAGUCUACCCCAAUCUCAAGCAUAAUAUAUCCAUCAUUAGCUAAGAUUUCCAGAGAGCACUCCAGAGGCCCACUAUCACUCAGCUGCAAUUACUGCUGCACAAACCACAAGCUAUUCCAAUCACCUGCCAUUACUAUUUUCACACGCUAAAUGGGGGAAACCGAGGUAAGGAGGACCAACGAAAUGGUUUAACAGGUUGAGCUUUUUUAAGCCAUUCGACUGUUUGGUGUUGAUUUCCUGUUCUGUCCAUGAGAGCAAAACCAAGCGUACCCCUGGGCACAGAAGGCUCAUUUCCCUUCCAGCCGGGCAAGAUGGUACAGAGGUUAAACGAGCGCAGCUACUCCCAGGCAGGAAACCGGAGAGAGCAAUUUCACCUUGUACUUUCUCUUGGCUUUUCUUCAAUAGGACUCGGUUGGCCAUCUAACUGCUGACCACAACCUAACUGUCUUCAGCUAACUUUGCUGACUGCCAGCUAACUGUGCCCGGUUGACUGGUCUGAGUCUCACUCAUUGGUGGAACGGGAUAGGUCGAGCCCAAAGGGAUUCUGAAAAGGGAAACGCCAUAUGCUCAUGGCAGAAGAGGCUUCUAGACAUUUUCGACAGAUGGGGCAGCUCGAUGGCACAGUGGAUAGAGCACCAGCCCUGGAGUCAAGGGGACCCGAGUUCAAAUUUGGCCUCAGGCACUUGAUACUAGUUGUGUGAUCCUGGACGAGUCGCUUAACCUGGUUUGUCUUGCUAGAAACAGAGAGAGAAAGAGGUGGGGGAGGGAGGGAGGAAGGGAGGAAGGGAGAAGAGGAAAAAAAGGGAGGGAAGGGAGAGAGGCAAAAAAAAAAAAAGAAAUGAAGGGAGGGAGGGAAAAAGGAGGAAAGGAAGAGAGGCAAAAUAA